This 227-nucleotide ribosomal RNA is filed under the name uncultured bacterium. Its description in RNAcentral is "partial 16S ribosomal RNA". It matches the Rfam family "Bacterial small subunit ribosomal RNA", at positions 28 to 245 of the family's 1533-position model. The record is from RNAcentral.
GAUGAACGCUGGCGGCGUGCUUUAACACAUGCAAGUCGAGCGAAGCGCUUGGAUUACUUCGGUUUGAAGAGUGACUGAGCGGCGGACGGGUGAGUAACGCGUGGGUAACCUGCCUCAUACAGGGGGAUAACAGUUAGAAAUGACUGCUAAUACCGUAUAAGCGCACAGGACCGCAUGGUCUGGUGUAGAAAAACUCCGGUGGUAUGAGAUGGACCCGCGUUGAUAGC